AGUGAACGCUGGCGGUAGGCCUAACACAUGCAAGUCGAACGGCAGCACAGUAAGAGCUUGCUCUUACGGGUGGCGAGUGGCGGACGGGUGAGGAAUACAUCGGAAUCUACUUUUUCGUGGGGGAUAACGUAGGGAAACUUACGCUAAUACCGCAUACGACCUACGGGUGAAAGCAGGGGAUCUUCGGACCUUGCGCGAUUGAAUGAGCCGAUGUCGGAUUAGCUAGUUGGCGGGGUAAAGGCCCACCAAGGCGACGAUCCGUAGCUGGUCUGAGGGGAUGAUCAGCCACACUGGAACUGAGACACGGUCCAGACUCCUACGGGAGGCAGCAGUGGGGAAUAUUGGACAAUGGGCGCAAGCCUGAUCCAGCCAUACCGCGUGGGUGGAGAAGGCCUUCGGGUUGUAAAGCCCUUUUGUUGGGAAAGAAAAGCAGCAGGUUAAUACCCCGCUGUUCUGACGGUACCCAAAGAAUAAGCACCGGCUAACUUCGUG
RNAcentral lists this ribosomal RNA (492 nucleotides) under uncultured bacterium. Its description in RNAcentral is "partial 16S ribosomal RNA". It matches the Rfam family "Bacterial small subunit ribosomal RNA", at positions 29 to 507 of the family's 1533-position model. The record is from RNAcentral.